RNAcentral lists this ribosomal RNA (497 nucleotides) under uncultured bacterium. RNAcentral describes it as "partial 16S ribosomal RNA". It matches the Rfam family "Bacterial small subunit ribosomal RNA", at positions 28 to 507 of the family's 1533-position model. The record is from RNAcentral.
GAUGAACGCUGGCGGCGUGCCUAAUACAUGCAAGUCGAGCGAACAGACGAGGAGCUUGCUCCUCUGACGUUAGCGGCGGACGGGUGAGUAACACGUGGAUAACCUACCUAUAAGACUGGGAUAACUUCGGGAAGCCGGAGCUAAUACCGGAUAAUAUAUUGAACCGCAUGGUUCAAUAGUGAAAGACGGUUUUGCUGUCACUUAUAGAUGGAUCCGCGCCGCAUUAGCUAGUUGGUAAGGUAACGGCUUACCAAGGCAACGAUGCGUAGCCGACCUGAGAGGGUGAUCGGCCACACUGGAACUGAAACACGGUCCAGACUCCUACGGGAGGCAGCAGUAGGGAAUCUUCCGCAAAGGGCGAAAGCCUGACGGAGCAACGCCGCGUGAGUGAUGAAGGUCUUCGGAUCGUAAAACUCUGUUAUUAGGGAAGAACAAAUGUGUAAGUAACUAUGCACGUCUUGACGGUACCUAAUCAGAAAGCCACGGCUAACUACGUA